This 309-nucleotide ribosomal RNA is filed under the name Triticum aestivum (bread wheat). RNAcentral describes it as "partial small subunit ribosomal RNA". The record is from RNAcentral. Lineage: Eukaryota; Viridiplantae; Streptophyta; Magnoliopsida; Poales; Poaceae.
AUGAAGCUGAAGAAGAUUGAACUCAUGGGUUUAGAGAAACCAGAUUCAGAUCUAAUGUUUCGGGCAAAAGACAAGGAAAUCUGCAAACACAAGCUCAAAACAGGUAUAAUUGACUCAUCACCAAAUUCCCCCAACAGAAUGGCCAGCAGCCCGGCGGCCAAGGACAGCACGGCGAACUUGUUUAUCUCCGUCCCCUUCGACAGAGACAGCAACAGCAACGCGCCCCCGGCAACUUGGUGCAGUGUCUACAGAAAGCAAGCCACGACGAACACUUGUCAGAUCAAGAACCGCAGCGAUGACAAGGAUUAG